This 496-nucleotide ribosomal RNA is filed under the name uncultured bacterium. RNAcentral describes it as "partial 16S ribosomal RNA". It matches the Rfam family "Bacterial small subunit ribosomal RNA", at positions 29 to 507 of the family's 1533-position model. The record is from RNAcentral.
AUGAACGCUGGCGGCGUGCCUAAUACAUGCAAGUCGAGCGAACAGACGAGGAGCUUGCUCCUCUGACGUUAGCGGCGGACGGGUGAGUAACACGUGGAUAACCUACCUAUAAGACUGGGAUAACUUCGGGAAACCGGAGCUAAUACCGGAUAAUAUAUUGAACCGCAUGGUUCAAUAGUGAAAGACGGUUUUGCUGUCACUUAUAGAUGGAUCCGCGCCGCAUUAGCUAGUUGGUAAGUUAACGGCUUACCAAGGCAACGAUGCGUAGCCGACCUGAGAGGGUGAUCGGCCACACGGGAACUGAGACACGGCCCAGACUCCUACGGGAGGCAGCAGAUGGGAAUCUUCCGCAAUGGGCGAAAGCCUUACGGAGCAACGCCGCGUGAGUGAUGAAGGUCUUCGGAUCGUAAAACUCUGUUAUUAGGGAAGAACAAAUGUGUAAGUACCUAUGCACGUCUUGACGGUACCUAAUCAGAAAGCCACGGCUAACUACGUG